CCUACGGGAGGCAGCAGUGAGGAAUAUUGGUCAAUGGACGAGAGUCUGAACCAGCCAAGUAGCGUGAAGGAUGACUGCCCUAUGGGUUGUAAACUUCUUUUAUAUGGGAAUAAAACGUUCCAUGUGUGGGAUUUUGUAUGUACCAUAUGAAUAAGGAUCGGCUAACUCCGUGCCAGCAGCCGCGGUAAUACGGAGGAUCCGAGCGUUAUCCGGAUUUAUUGGGUUUAAAGGGAGCGUAGGUGGAUUGUUAAGUCAGUUGUGAAAGUUUGCGGCUCAACCGUAAAAUUGCAGUUGAAACUGGCAGUCUUGAGUACAGUAGGGGUGGGCGGAAUUCGUGGUGUAGCGGUGAAAUGCUUAGAUAUCACGAAGAACUCCGAUUGCGAAGGCAGUUCACUGGACUGCAACUGACACUGAGGCUCGAAAGUGUGGGUAUCAAACAGGAUUAGAUACCCUGGUAGUC
RNAcentral lists this ribosomal RNA (460 nucleotides) under uncultured bacterium. RNAcentral describes it as "partial 16S ribosomal RNA". It matches the Rfam family "Bacterial small subunit ribosomal RNA", at positions 338 to 795 of the family's 1533-position model. The record is from RNAcentral.